This 1923-nucleotide ribosomal RNA is filed under the name Triticum aestivum (bread wheat). RNAcentral describes it as "partial small subunit ribosomal RNA". Lineage: Eukaryota; Viridiplantae; Streptophyta; Magnoliopsida; Poales; Poaceae. The record is from RNAcentral.
AUGGAAGCCGCGUCCUUGCCGCUCGCCACCUCCCGCUUCCUCUCCCCGCCAGCGGCUGCGGCGUCCUGCUCCCGCACGAGGAGCCUCCCUUUCGUCCGCGCCGCCAAUCAGGCACUGGAAGCACGUAAAGUCCCCAAAGCCCAGCGGCCGUCACCCCGGCGCAACGCCGUCGCUGAGGUCAAGGCCGCCCCCGACCCCGUCGCUGCCCUAACCAGGCUCGAAGAUGUGUUGCAGACACAGGACUGCAACAUAAUCUUGCGCCACUAUGGAGAAAUCAGGCGAUGGGAUGUGCUUUCUAAGGUCUUCGGGUGGAUGCAGGAGCAUGACAUGCUCAACAUUGCGUCUUACAGCAGCUAUUUCAAGUACCUGGGGUUGAGCCGUAAUGCUGCGAAAGCUCUGCAAGUGUACGGUUCCAUUCAGGACCAGUCGACCAGAGUCAAUGUUUCUGUUUGUAAUUCUCUUCUCGGGUGCUUGGUGAAGAACGGGAGAUCCGACAGCACCUUCAAGCUUUAUGAUGAGAUGAUACGAGGAGGUCUAUCACCUGAUCUCUUCACCUACAGUACUCUGCUGUCAGGGUGCAUGAAGUUGAAGCACGGGUACGCUAAGGCAAUGGAGUUGAUCAAUGAGCUCAACUCACGCGGUCUUCAGAUGGAUAGUGUAAUAUAUGGUACCCUCUUGGCAAUAUGUGCAUCUCAUAACUACUGUGAGGAAGCUGAGGCAUACUUCAAGAAAUUGAAGGAUAAAGGCCAUAAUCCUAAUCUGUUUCACUACAGUUCCCUGUUGAACGCGUAUUCAGUAAAUUCUUAUUAUGAAAAAGCUGAGCUGUUGAUGAAAGAUUUGAGGUCUUCUGGUUUAACACCAAAUAAGGUUAUACUGACCACUUUGUUGAAGGUAUAUUCUAAAGGUGGUCUGUUUGAGAAGGCUAAGGAGUUGCUAACUGAAUUGGAAGCCUCAGGCUUUGCACAGGAUGAGAUGGCAUAUUGCAUAUUGAUUGAUGCACUUGCCAAAGGAGGAAAGAUAUGGGAAGCAACAAUGGUGUUCAAUGAAAUGAAAGAAAAAGGUGUCAAGUCUGAUGGCUAUGCAUUUAGUAUCAUGAUUUCAGCAUUACAUCGAAGUGGUUAUCGUGAAGAAGCAAAAAAUCUUGCAAAAGAAUUUGAGGAUCAGAAUGCCACAUAUGAUCUUGUUAUGCUUAACACAUCACUUCGUGCUUACUGCAAUACAUAUGAUACGGAAAGUGUAAUGAGAAUGCUGAAGAAAAUGGAUGAGUUGAAUAUAUCACCUGAUGAUAUCACGUUUAAUACCUUAAUAAGGUACUUCUGCAAGGCAAAGGUCUAUCACCUAGCAUACAAGACGAUUGUAGAUAUGCAUACGAAAGGCCAUCAACUGAAUGAGGAGCUUUGUUCUGAGGUAAUGGUGCAGCUAGGAGAAGCAGGUUUUCCUUCUGAAGCGUUUUCUGUGUAUAAUAUGAUGAGAUAUAGUAAGAGAACAGUUUGUAAAUCUCUUCACGAGAAGGUUUUAGGCAUCUUAGUUCCAGCAGGACUUCUGAAGGAUGCCUAUAUAGUUAUUAAGGACAAUGGAGAGUCGAUAUCUCCACGCUCUUUGGAGAAAUUUGCUACACAAUUCAUGAUCUCUGGCAACAUAAAUUUGAUUAACGAUGUUAUGAAAGCCCUAAACCAUUCAGGAUGGCGUAUAAGCCAGGAAACCUUUGGUAGAGCAAUUCAGCGAUACAUCCAGAAGCCCGAUAAGAAGCAACUAUUGUUAUGCCUCUUGGACUGGAUGACUGGUCAAGGCUAUUCCGUGGACUCAUCAUCAAGGAACUUGGUUUUGAAAAAUGCACAACUCUUUGGCCAAAAACAACUGAUAGCAGAAAUCCUUUCAAAGCAGCAAGCAGCUUCAAGGAUAACAAAUAAGCUCAUUGAUUAA